Molecule: ribosomal RNA, 498 nt
Filed under: uncultured bacterium
Lineage: Bacteria
Description: partial 16S ribosomal RNA
Rfam family: Bacterial small subunit ribosomal RNA
Source: RNAcentral
AUUGAACGCUGGCGGCAUGCCUUACACAUGCAAGUCGAACGGUUACAGGUCUUCGGAUGCUGACGAGUGGCGAACGGGUGAGUAAUACAUCGGAACGUGCCUAGUAGUGGGGGAUAACUACUCGAAAGAGUGGCUAAUACCGCAUGAGAUCUACGGAUGAAAGCAGGGGAUCGCAAGACCUUGUGCUACUAGAGCGGCCGAUGGCAGAUUAGGUAGUUGGUGGGAUAAAAGCUUACCAAGCCGACGAUCUGUAGCUGGUCUGAGCGGACGAUCAGCCACACUGGGACUGAGACACGGCCCAGACUCCUACGGGAGGCAGCAGUGGGGAAUUUUGGACAAUGGGCGAAAGCCUGAUCCAGCAAUGCCGCGUGCAGGAUGAAGGCCUUCGGGUUGUAAACUGCUUUUGUACGGAACGAAAAGCCCCGGGUUAAUAACCUGGGGUCAUGACGGUACCGUAAGAAUAAGCACCGGCUAACUACGUGCCAGCCGCCGCCGUAA